CCUACGGGGUGCAGCAGUGGGGAAUAUUGCACAAUGGGCGAAAGCCUGAUGCAGCAACGCCGCGUGAGCGAUGCAGGCCUUCGGGUCGUAAAGCUCUGUCCUCAAGGAAGAUAAUGACGGUACUUGAGGAGUAAGCCCCGGCUAACUACGUGGCAGCAGCCGCGGUAAUACGUAGGGGGAUAGCGUUAUACGGAAGUACUGGGCGUAAAGGGUGCGUAGGUGGUUUCUUAAGUCAGAGGUGGAAGGCGACGGCCCAACAGGAGGAAGCCUUUGAAAAUGGGGAACUUGAGUGCAGGAGAGGAGAGUGGAAUUCCUAGUGUAGCGGUGAAAUGCGUAGAUAUUAGGAGGAACACCAGUGGCGAAGGCGGCUCUCUGGACUGUAACUGACACUGAGGCACGAAAGCGUGGGGAGCAAACAGGAUUAGAUACCCGGGUAGUC
Molecule: ribosomal RNA, 439 nt
Filed under: uncultured bacterium
Lineage: Bacteria
Description: partial 16S ribosomal RNA
Rfam family: Bacterial small subunit ribosomal RNA
Source: RNAcentral